Molecule: non-coding RNA, 2548 nt
Organism: Oryctolagus cuniculus (rabbit)
Lineage: Eukaryota; Metazoa; Chordata; Mammalia; Lagomorpha; Leporidae
Source: RefSeq, a predicted model, not a curated record
CUAUGAGUGUUACUCCAAAUGGUCACUUGGCAAGUAGGACCUUCAGUUCCCUUAUUCUUGUCAGUGAACGAGCUAUAAGCUGUUGCUUAAAAGCUGAAUUUUGACACCCCCUCCCCCCCCGGAUAGGACUGUUAGUAAAGACGUUCAGGAUCUCUGGGGUGUUUCCCAACAUCCCAGAAACUGCGUUUUCUGCCAGCAACAUCAAGAUGGCAGGACCACCUAGCCCUUCAUCUAUUCCAGCAGAUGACAAACUAAGGAUCACCCGAGACUUCAGCCUCAGACUGUCAAAGUCAGAACGGGAGUUGGAAGCUCUCCGACAACAAGUAUAUAACUUGGCUACUUGCUUAGAGAAAUACAAUGGUGGAAUAUACAAACCCCUGCUACACCACAUGCUGGAAAAGAAAGGCCGGCUUGGAUUGCUGCAAGUUGUGUCAACGGUUCAAGCUGCGUUCAAGUAAGGGGGACUCCGUGCAGGGCAGAGUGUAUGUGUCUGUGAAAUGGGUAGCUCAGCUGGGACAACCAAGACUUGACUUUGGCCAGCAGCAGGACACUUUUCUCAUAAAUAUUGAUAAAAUGCACGACCAACGGAAAAGCUAACUGAUGGGCUGCAUGGUGAUGCAGAGCCUCUUUUUCUCUUUUGGAAAACAAGGAAUUUCUUGAGUUCAGAUUCACAACCCAAUAUUGAACAGAGGCUAGUGGCAACACAGUGACAUGUCUGCACACUCUGUAGUGUGGUAACCAUGUCAACGGCUGUUGAUCACCAUCACCUCCUGAUUGACUGAUGAUGGCCGAUGUGCGGAGGGAACAGUGGCCAGCAGGUCCGAGGCGGGGCGGCUGGGCGGCUGGGUGCCCGGCUGCAAUCCAGGGCGCUGAGUUGCCCAUCAGCUUUCCCUGGGUUCAAUCCAACCCGCGGUGGUUAGUCAGGUGUGUGGCAGGCUCUUUUCCAAGGCACGUGUUUCCUAUCAGUCUGCCCGGCUUCAGUCCGGCCGGCUGUGACAAGUCAGGCCCGUUCCAGGCUCUAAACCAGGGUGCUCUGUUGCUUAUCAGAUUGCCUUGGCUUCUGUUCUGCGGGCCGUGCCCAGUUUCCUCAGUCUUCCUCUGUGCUGGCCCACCUUCCUUAGGCCCCCGUCCUGGGCCCCCAGUGGGGGUCUCCACCUCAUUCUCCUGUACCUUUCACGUGGCGGCCCGGUGACACGUGGCUGGCCACUACGUUGCUCAGUGUUUGUUGCUGGCUGGGAUCAUAUACAUAGCGUUGCCCCCUGCUGGUUCCAUGGGCUCAUGUGGAGCUAUUAAUGGCCUCUGGGCAAUGUGCUGACCUGUGCUGUUGGGCCUUUCUCAUGGCCUGGCUUGCUACCCCAGACCCCAUGCCUUAGCCCCUUAUCUAGGUCUCCAACUCACAGUCUACUGUCCCUCUGAAGCCCCAGCCUGCCUGUCAAGGCUGAGGUGGCGGUCAGCUGGAUUUUGGCAGUCGUGCUGGUUUUGACCACAGACAGCCCUCCAGGCAUGCCAGCGAGGCCAGCCGCUCUCGUACAUUUUGGUCCUUUGCUGCCUUGUGUUCCUCCUAGCCUUUUCCUGAUGAGCACCUAACACCACUCAGCCUGUAACCCACACCCUAUCCUGCCAGGAUUGAACAUUUGGAUGUGUGCUGCCCAUCUGACUGUAUGCACCUCGGUUGGCCUGCCUUGGUCACUCAUCUUUGUGCUGCCUUCGGCUUCCCUUUCCAUCGAUUCUGUUGUCCGGCACUUUGUUUAAAACAGCGUCGUCCCUGGCCACGCGCCGUGGAAUGUCACUUACCAUCAAAGGGCCUUUCUGGAUGGCAGCUCCACCAGCCAAGGACCGCCCUUCUCCUUAUGCCCAGGCUGGCGACCUCUCCCGGAAUUUUAUCCUGAUUGCGGGAUGGCCAUGGUUUGUUGGGAGUGUCCAGCAGUACCAGCUGGCAGUGAAACCAGCCAUGGGAGAUGAGACCAGAGGCCAAGCUCGGGAUCUGAUAAGAUGGCUGGACUGCCCCGCAGGAUCAUCGAGGAAACCCAGCGUUUGCCAACAGAACCAGUUCCUGGCAUUAAAGCAGAACCAGAUGAGAGCAGCGCCCACUAUUUUCAUAGGGUCAUUGCUGGCCCCCAGGAUUCCCCCUUUGAGUGGGGGACUUUUAAACUUGAACUAUUCCUUCCAGAAGAAUACUCGAUGGCAGCCCCUGAAGUACGUUUCAUGAACAAAAUUUAUCAUCCUAAUGUAGAUAAGUUGGAGAGAAUAUGUUUAGAUAUUUUGAAAGAUAAGUGGUCCUCAGCACUAGAUCAAUCUAGGCUUUGUUAAGUACUCCUAAUCCAGAUGAUCCAUUAGCGAAUGAUGUAGUGGAGCAGAGGAAGACCAACGAAGCCCAAGCCAUCGAAACAGCUGGAGUGUGGACUAGGCUAGAUGCCAUGAACAAUAUUUAAAUCGAUCUGAUCCUCGAGUGCCAUCACUGCUGUUCUGCCAAGACUUCUUCCUUUUUGUUUGCAUUUAAUGGACAUAGUCUUAGAAAUAUUACAGAAUAAAAGCCCAGACAUCUUCA